AUCCCAUGAUGAGGGCAUUUUUGUAAUAGCUCUUUGAAUCUUUCUCAUGCUUCAUACAGAGAGUCCCUAUCCACUUGUUGGAAUGAGGUAAUGUUGUUUCUGAGCUU
This 107-nucleotide small nucleolar RNA is filed under the name Morus notabilis. RNAcentral describes it as "Plant small nucleolar RNA R71". It matches the Rfam family "Plant small nucleolar RNA R71". From Rfam's summary of the family: R71 is a member of the C/D box family of snoRNAs containing the C (UGAUGA) and D (CUGA) box motifs. Multiple nearly identical copies of this snoRNA have been identified in Arabidopsis, and it is thought to function as a 2'-O-ribose methylation guide for 18S ribosomal RNA. The record is from Rfam by way of RNAcentral. Lineage: Eukaryota; Viridiplantae; Streptophyta; Magnoliopsida; Rosales; Moraceae.